Molecule: ribosomal RNA, 506 nt
Filed under: uncultured bacterium
Lineage: Bacteria
Description: bacterial SSU rRNA
Rfam family: Bacterial small subunit ribosomal RNA
Source: RNAcentral
UCAGGAUGAACGCGUAGCGACAGGCUUAACACAUGCAAGUCGAAGGGGCAGCAUAAAAGUAGCAAUACGUUGGUGGCGACCGGCGCACGGGUGAGUAACGCGUAUGCAACCUACCUAUCAGAGGGGAAUAACCCGGCGAAAGUCGGACUAAUACCGCAUAAAACAGGGGCACCGCAUGGUGAUAUUUGUUAAAGAAAUUCGCUGAUAGAUGGGCAUGCGUUCCAUUAGGUAGUUGGUGAGGUAACGGCUCACCAAGCCGACGAUGGAUAGGGGAACUGAGAGGUUGGUCCCCCACACUGGUACUGAGACACGGACCAGACUCCUACGGGAGGCAGCAGUGAGGAAUAUUGGUCAAUGGGCGGGAGCCUGAACCAGCCAAGUCGCGUGAAGGAAAAGAAGGAUCUAUGGUUCGUAAACUUCUUUUGCAGGGGAAUAAAGUGCAGGACGUGUCCUGUUUUGUAUGUACCCUGAGAAUAAGGAUCGGCUAACUCCGUGCCAGCAGCAGC